AGAGUAGAAUGAUUGUAAAUUUUUACAUAUGAUAAUGGUAUGAUAGCUAAGGUUUUUAUUUUUAGAGAUGCUUGCAGAAAUAUUCAUGGAUGCGGCCAAGUGCGGUGGCUCAUGCCUGUAAUCCCAGCACUUUGGGAGGCUGAGGUGGGCGGAUUACGAGGUCAGGAGAACCAGACCAUCCUGGCUAACAUGGUGAAACCCGGUCUCUACUAAAAAUAAAAAAUAAAAAUAAAUUUUAAAAAAAUAACAGGGCAUGGUGGCGGGCGCCUGUAGUCCCAGCUACUCGGGAGGCUGAGGCAGGAGAAUGACGUGAACCUGGGAGGUGGAGCUUGCAGUGAGCGAAGAUCGUGCCACUGCACUCCAGCCUGGGCAACAGAGUGAGACUCUGUGAAAGACAGAGAGAAAGAAGGAAGGAAGGAAGGAAGGAAGGAAGGAAGGAAGGAAGGAAGGAAGGUAGGAAGGAAGGAAGGAGGGAGGGAGGGAGGGAGGGAGGGAGGGAAGGAAGGAAGGAAAGGAAGGAAGGAAAGGAGGGAGGGAGGCAGGGAGGGAGGGAAGGAAGGAAAAGAAAGAAAGAAAUAUUCAUACGAUGUCUAGGAUUUGCCUCCAUAAAACCCAAUGAGGUUGGGGGUUGGGAAACAAAAGAAAAUAUGGAUGAGGAUGAAACGAGAUUGGCUUAGAGUUGGUAGGUGUUGAAGUUGAGCAGUGAGCGCCUGAGGACUUCUUAGGCUAUGUCUCUACUUCUGUGUAUGUUUCAAAAUUUCCCAAACGAAACAUUUUCUAAAUUGUCCAGUGUAGAAGGCUCAAGCCUUCGGCAUCUUCCCCCAUCCCCACCGAAGUCCCCAGUCCUCCCCUGGUAACAUUCUGGGCAGCUUUCCUCCUUGCUUCCCCAGCACCUCCUGGGCUAUUUCAGACUCCGUGCCAGCGGAGCACCACACUGCCUCAGCCCCCGCAGUUGGCACUUGGACAAAAAUCUUUUCCUGACCCCAGAUGGCAUUGCAGCUUCCUCAGUCCGAUCCUGUAAGCAUAUUUUUUUCCAGGCACCUGAUUCCUGGAUGUGGCAGCAAUAAAACCAACCGAGAUUGUUUGACUGGCCCCCUCUGGAGCAGGUAUUUCCCAUUCCGAUGCCGUCAGCCAUCUGAGCGUGCUGCUUCCAAGAGCUCGGAAAUAACAGCCGGGUGCAGUUUCCAGGAACCUGCUGAUGACGAUGAUGACGGUAAGUGAGGACUUACUGUAUACAUGUUUGAAGUUUAUGUAGCUCCUGGAAUCUCCUAGCAUACCAUCAGUGAUACAAUAUAUCACGUCUGGUAAUUGUUGAAUAGUCUCCAAAGUCCCUUCCAGUUCCAAAGAAUCUGUAUUUUCAUGAAAUAAGCUUUGAAUGAUAUCGCCAAGGCCCCAAAGAAAUCAAGCAGGAGGACUAGAGGAACAUCGAGCGAUGGACUCCAAGAUGUAUAAUAGAUGUCCUUUGCUUCUCCGGUCCACCCUUUUUGUUUGUUUCCUAGAAACUCUGUGCAGAGAAGGCUCCAGAUUGCUGAAAGCACAGUCUAAGACAUCCAAAGAUCACACUUGCAGUUCCAAAAUAGAUUUAUAAACAGUCCAUCCAAACUAAAUGUAAAACCAUAACCAAAACAGGUGAGGAAAUCUGGAGAGCUCAAUUUGGUUAAUAUGUGGGUUUGGCGGCAACAUUCAUCACUACCAGAUUACACACCACUGCGUGUUCUCCCUACCACCUAAUGGUACUAAUCCUGGACUCUAUUUGAUGUUGAUAUUCAACUAAUUAAGAGUUUAUAUUUUACUCUUCCUUCAUGGAGCAGAAAUGUCAUCCUUACCUUCAGAGGGGUGCUCCGUGGGCCUUUC
Molecule: long non-coding RNA, 1854 nt
Organism: Papio anubis (olive baboon)
Lineage: Eukaryota; Metazoa; Chordata; Mammalia; Primates; Cercopithecidae
Source: Ensembl